AAAGGAUGGAAGGAAGGAGGAAGUGGACAAUGAGCCCAGAGCCCUCACCUGAGUUCCAAACAUUUAAGUCAAACUGCCAACUUCAUUCUCCAUUUGGACGAUUUCUCAACAUGUACAAAACCAAGUCCUGAUUUUUCCGUGACCCCAAAUCUGUUCUAUCUGAAGCCUCCCUAUCUCAGUUACUGAUCCUGGCUGAUGGAUGUAAUGAAGGCAUGAACUAUACUAGUUGAACAAGGAAAUGAACUUGAACCAAAUUGUGAAGUUCUCUGCAGUGAAAUAUUAAAGAUUAGCAAGCUAAACAGAGAAAAAGAUAACACUCAAGAAACUGCCUAUAUGUAAGAGAUUCCUUUGAGAACUUUCAAAUGGCUCCUUUCUACAAAAGACCUGAGAAUACUUAACCCCCCACCACUAGCACACUCAAAGCUCAAGGCAAAUGCAUUUUCAAGAUUGACAGGGUCUUGGACUCUGAAAGUCUUUGGACCCAAGAAAAAUCGUGUUAUCUAAGAGAGCAGUUAUUCUGACACAGACUGAUAUCAGGUGCCUGUGGCAUGAAACACGGAAGAGAAUAAUAGCAUCUACCUUAUAAGAAGACAUACUAUAUUCUGGACCACAUAUCUGAUAAUUCUUACAGCCCUUUAAAGAUAAUCAUAACUAGAAUAUUAUCUUAUUUUGUAGCUCAUAGAUGUCAAAAGACUAGCUCAUAAUUUUAUUGCGGAUACAUAGCAGAACCAAGAUUUGAACUCAGACCUGUCUCAUUCCACAACUCAUUUUCCUUGAAGUCAAUAGAUGCCACUGAUCUCUAAAUACCUACAAAAGGGGCUCGGAGGUGGAGAGGGGAUGUCUGAGGAGCCUUAGGACUACCACCCAAUGUUCUGUCUUUAGAUAGAGAUGCUAUCACCAAUCUCUCUUUCACACAUACUCCUCCUCUUCUCAUUUCUGUUCGUGUACUUGGUUCUCAGUGUAAGAUUUUGUUAGAAGAAAGAGGCAUGU
Homo sapiens (human) is the source of this 990-nucleotide long non-coding RNA. RefSeq lists it as uncharacterized. The transcript has 5 exons. Lineage: Eukaryota; Metazoa; Chordata; Mammalia; Primates; Hominidae. The record is from RefSeq and is a predicted model, not a curated record.